Molecule: ribosomal RNA, 253 nt
Filed under: uncultured bacterium
Lineage: Bacteria
Description: partial 16S ribosomal RNA
Rfam family: Bacterial small subunit ribosomal RNA
Source: RNAcentral
UACGGAGGGUGCAAGCGUUGUCCGGAAUCACUGGGCGUAAAGGGCGCGUAGGCGGCUCAUGAAGUCUGUGGUGAAAGUCCGGGGCUCAACCUCGGAUCGGCGGUGGCGACUCGUGGGCUGGAGCACUGUAGAGGCGGGUGGAAUUCCGGGUGUAGCGGUGGAAUGCGUAGAGAUCCGGAAGAACACCGGUGGCGAAGGCGGCCCGCUGGGCAGUGGCUGACGCUGAGGCGCGAAAGCGUGGGGAGCAAACAGG